CCCUUAGAUGUUCUGGGCCGCACGCGCGCUACAAUGAUGAAUUCAACGAGUUUAUAACCUUGGUUGAAAAGCCUGGGUAAUCUUUUGAACUUUCGUCGUGAUGGGGCUAGACCCUUGCAAUUAUUGGUCCCCAACGAGGAAUUCCUAGUAAACGCAAGUCAUCAGCUUGCAUUGAUUACGUCCCUGCCCUUUGUACACAUUGCCCGUCGCACCUACCGAUUGAAUGGUCCGGUGAAAUCUUCGGAUUGAGACUUUGUUUUCUUCACGGAAAACGCUGUUUUAAAAAGUUGAUUAAACCUUACCAUUUAGAGGAAGGUGAAGUCGUAACA
RNAcentral lists this ribosomal RNA (329 nucleotides) under uncultured eukaryote. Its description in RNAcentral is "partial 18S ribosomal RNA". It matches the Rfam family "Eukaryotic small subunit ribosomal RNA", at positions 1470 to 1796 of the family's 1831-position model. The record is from RNAcentral.